Non-coding RNA from Ictidomys tridecemlineatus (thirteen-lined ground squirrel), 816 nucleotides. The record is from RefSeq and is a predicted model, not a curated record. NCBI's taxonomy places the organism in Eukaryota, Metazoa, Chordata, Mammalia, Rodentia, Sciuridae.
UUGAGCUGCUUUCCUCUGCCAUGAUGUUCUACCUCAUUCUGGGCCCAGAGCAACGGAGUUGGCUAUCUAUGGACUGAGACCUCUGAAACCAUGAGCUCCAAAUCAAAGUUUCCUUCUUAAAAACUGUGCUUGUGAGGUCUUUUGGUCACCGUGGAGAAAAAGCUGAGUAACAGAGGUAGAAUAAUAUCUCCUUCUCUAACUAAAUUCCACAAAAGGAUCCCUGAACCUCGGCGCAGUGCAAAUCCAAUGUGAACAGCCGAAUGGGCUGUGGAUUUUCUGAUGAUGGAUAAACGGUGACACAGGAAUUUGAGAUCCUGGUUCCCAGCAAGAGUCUCAGAGCAGCCUGCUUGUCAUGGCACAUGCCUGUUACCCUUCUGCUUCUACUAUGAGGCCCUCAUUAAGAAGCAUUCUGGUGCCAUGCUCCUAGACUUUAGAACUAUGAGGUAAGUAAACUUUCUUUUUUCUUUAUAAAUUACCCAGCCUUUGGUAUUUUGUUAUCGCAAUAAGGAACAGACUAAAACGUUAAGCCUUUGUGUGAUUCAACCAGUGAUUCUGUUUCUCUGAUGACUUAUAAGAAACAAGGAACAAAGUGGGAGAUUAGAACAAUGAGAUACUUCAACAGAUGAAUGGAUAAAGAAAAUGUGGUACAUAUACACAGUGGGAUAUUACUCAGCCUUAAAGAAGAAUGAAAUUAUGGUAUUUGCAGGUAAAUGGACAGAGCUGAAGAAUAUCUUGGUAAGCGAAAUAAGUCCAACUCAAAAAAACCAAAGGCCAAAUGUUUUCUUUGAUAGGCAGAUACUAAUCCAUAAUGGGAGU